GACGAACGCUGGCGGCGUGCUUAACACAUGCAAGUCGAACGGAAAGGCCCUGCUUUUGUGGGAUGCUCGAGUGGCGAACGGGUGAGUAACACGUGAGUAACCUGCCCUGGACUUUGGGAUAACUUCAGGAAACUUGGGCUAAUACCGGAUAGGAGCUCCUGCUGCAUGGUGGGGGUUGGAAAGUUUCGGCGGUUGGGGAUGGACUCGCGGCUUAUCAGCUUGUUGGUGGGGUAGUGGCUUACCAAGGCUUUGACGGGUAGCCGGCCUGAGAGGGUGACCGGCCACAUUGGGCCUGAGAUACGGCCCAGACUCCUACGGGAGGCAGCAGUGGGGAAUAUUGCACAAUGGGCGGAAGCCUGAUGCAGCAACGCCGCGUGCGGGAUGACGGCCUUCGGGUUGUAAACCGCUUUCGCCUGUGACGAAGCGUGAGUGACGGUAAUGGGUAAAGAAGCACCGGCUAACUACGUG
This 468-nucleotide ribosomal RNA is filed under the name uncultured bacterium. Its description in RNAcentral is "partial 16S ribosomal RNA". It matches the Rfam family "Bacterial small subunit ribosomal RNA", at positions 28 to 507 of the family's 1533-position model. The record is from RNAcentral.